UACGGAGGGUGCAAGCGUUGUCCGGAAUCACUGGGCGUAAAGGGCGCGUAGGCGGACAUUUAAGUCAGAUGUGAAAUACCCGAGCUUAACUUGGGUGCUGCAUUUGAAACUGGGUGUCUAGAGUGCAGGAGAGGUAAGUGGAAUUCCUAGUGUAGCGGUGAAAUGCGUAGAGAUUAGGAAGAACACCAGUGGCGAAGGCGACUUACUGGACUGUAACUGACGCUGAGGCAUGAAAGCGUGGGGAGCAAACAGG
RNAcentral lists this ribosomal RNA (253 nucleotides) under uncultured bacterium. RNAcentral's name for it is "partial 16S ribosomal RNA". It matches the Rfam family "Bacterial small subunit ribosomal RNA", at positions 524 to 776 of the family's 1533-position model. The record is from RNAcentral.